CCUACGGGAGGCAGCAGUGGGGAAUAUUGCACAAUGGGGGAAACCCUGAUGCAGCGACGCCGCGUGAGUGAAGAAGGAUUUCUGUGUGUAAAGCUCUAUCAGCAGGAAAGAAAAUGACGGUACCUGAAUAAGAAGCCCCGGCUAACUACGUGCCAGCAGCCGCGGUAAUACGUAGGGGGCAAGCGUUAUCCGGAUUUACUGGGUGUAAAGGGAGCGUAGACGGCAGCACAAGUCUGGAGUGAAAUGCCGGGGCUUAACCCGGGAACUGCUUUGGAAACUGGGGAGCUAGAGUGCAGGAGAGGUAAGUGGAAUGCCUGGUGUAGCGGUGAAAUGCGUAGAGAUCAGGAGGAACACCAGUGGCGAAGGCGGCUUACUGGACUGUAACUGACGUUGAGGCUCGAAAGCGUGGGGAGCAAACAGGAUUAGAUACCCCAGUAGUC
Molecule: ribosomal RNA, 440 nt
Filed under: uncultured bacterium
Lineage: Bacteria
Description: partial 16S ribosomal RNA
Rfam family: Bacterial small subunit ribosomal RNA
Source: RNAcentral